Molecule: ribosomal RNA, 499 nt
Filed under: uncultured bacterium
Lineage: Bacteria
Description: partial 16S ribosomal RNA
Rfam family: Bacterial small subunit ribosomal RNA
Source: RNAcentral
GACGAACGCUGGCGGCGUGCCUAAUACAUGCAAGUCGAGCGGACAAAACAGGAGCUUGCUCUUGUGUGGUUAGCGGCGGACGGGUGAGUAACACGUGGGUAACCUGCCUGUAAGAACGGGAUAACUCCGGGAAACCGGAGCUAAUACCGGAUAACACCGAAGACCGCAUGGUCUUUGGUUGAAAGGCGGCUUUGGCUGCCACUUACGGAUGGGCCCGCGGCGCAUUAGCUAGUUGGUGAGGUAAGGGCUCACCAAGGCGACGAUGCGUAGCCGGACGGAGAGGGUGACCGGCCACACUGGGACUGGGACGCUGCCCAAACCCCUGCCGGAGGCAGCAGGAGGGAAUCCUCCGCAAUUGGCGGAAGUCUGACGGAGGGACGCCGCGUUAGCGAAGAAGGGCUUCGGAGCGUAAAGCUCUGUUGUUAGGGGAGAAGGAGCUCCGUUCGAACAGGGCGGCGCGGUGACGGUACCUAACGAGAAAGCCCCGGCUAACUACGUG